RNAcentral lists this ribosomal RNA (462 nucleotides) under uncultured bacterium. RNAcentral's name for it is "bacterial SSU rRNA". It matches the Rfam family "Bacterial small subunit ribosomal RNA", at positions 33 to 507 of the family's 1533-position model. The record is from RNAcentral.
ACGCUGGCGGCGCGCCUAACACAUGCAAGUCGAACGAGAGAUGAAGAGCUUGCUCUUCAGAUCGAGUGGCGAACGGGUGAGUAACGCGUGAGGAACCUGCCUCAAAGAGGGGGGACAACAGUUGGAAACGACUGCUAAUACCGCAUAAGCCCACAGCUCGGCAUCGAGCAGAGGGAAAAGGAGCAAUCCGCUUUGAGAUGGCCUCGCGUCCGAUUAGCUAGUUGGUGAGGUAACGGCCCACCAAGGCGACGAUCAGUAGCCGGACUGAGAGGUUGAACGGCCACAUUGGGACUGAGACACGGCCCAGACUCCUACGGGAGGCAGCAGUGGGGAAUAUUGCACAAUGGGGGAAACCCUGAUGCAGCGACGCCGCGUGGAGGAAGAAGGUCUUCGGAUUGUAAACUCCUGUUGUUGAGGAAGAUAAUGACGGUACUCAACAAGGAAGUGACGGCUAACUACGUG